This 231-nucleotide long non-coding RNA is filed under the name Nicotiana benthamiana. Its description in RNAcentral is "long non-coding RNA (NBEN_LNC025885)". Lineage: Eukaryota; Viridiplantae; Streptophyta; Magnoliopsida; Solanales; Solanaceae. The record is from RNAcentral.
AACUAAUCAGAAUGUUUGAUUAUUAGACCAUGGUAUUUGAUUUUCCAAAUACAUCAUUAUUGUAUACUCUUUCAUAUAUAUAGCGCAAUCCAAUUUUUCUUUUUUACUUUUUUUUUUGAAAUGGAAAUACCUAUCUAACCUAAAUAAUAAGAACUUCCCCCUUGACAGUGGUAUAUGUUGUAUAUGUAAAUCCUAGAUGUGAAAAUAUACGGAAUUCCUCUAUGAAUCUAU